UACGUAGGUGGCAAGCGUUGUCCGGAAUUAUUGGGCGUAAAGCGCGCGCAGGCGGUCUUUUAAGUCUGAUGUGAAAGCCCACGGCUCAACCGUGGAGGGUCAUUGGAAACUGGGGGGACUUGAGUGCAGGAGAGAAGAGUGGAAUUCCACGUGUAGCGGUGAAAUGCGUAGAGAUGUGGAGGAACACCAGUGGCGAAGGCGACUCUUUGGCCUGUAACUGACGCUGAGGCGCGAAAGCGUGGGGAGCAAACAGG
RNAcentral lists this ribosomal RNA (254 nucleotides) under uncultured bacterium. Its description in RNAcentral is "partial 16S ribosomal RNA". It matches the Rfam family "Bacterial small subunit ribosomal RNA", at positions 524 to 776 of the family's 1533-position model. The record is from RNAcentral.